This is a non-coding RNA of Steinernema glaseri, 72 nucleotides long. The record is from Rfam. Lineage: Eukaryota; Metazoa; Nematoda; Chromadorea; Rhabditida; Steinernematidae.
CACAGUGGUCCGGAGUCGGCGGGUUAUCAAAGCACAUUGAACUCCACCCCGUUGGCAUCACUUGACCAUUGU